Molecule: ribosomal RNA, 442 nt
Filed under: uncultured bacterium
Lineage: Bacteria
Description: partial 16S ribosomal RNA
Rfam family: Bacterial small subunit ribosomal RNA
Source: RNAcentral
CCUACGGGAGGCUGCAGUGGGGAAUAUUGGGCAAUGGGCGAAAGCCUGACCCAGCAACGCCGCGUGAAGGAAGAAGGCUUUCGGGUUGUAAACUUCUUUUGACAGGGAAGAGCAGAAGACGGUACCUGUCGAAUAAGCCACGGCUAACUACGUGCCAGCAGCCGCGGUAAUACGUAGGUGGCAAGCGUUGUCCGGAUUUACUGGGUGUAAAGGGAGCGUAGACGGCGAUGCAAGUCUGAAGUGAAAGGCGGGGGCCCAACCUCCGGACUGCUUUGGAAACUGUAUGGCUGGAGUGCGCGAGAAGUAUGCGGAAUGCGUGGUGUAGCGGUGAAAUGCAUAGAUAUCACGCAGAACUCCGAUUGCGAAGGCAGCAUACCGGCGCGCAACUGACGCUCAUGCACGAAAGCGUGGGUAUCGAACAGGAUUAGAUACCCGUGUAGUC